Molecule: non-coding RNA, 164 nt
Filed under: bovine gut metagenome
Description: Lysine riboswitch
Rfam family: Lysine riboswitch aptamer
About the family: Riboswitches are metabolite binding domains within certain messenger RNAs that serve as precision sensors for their corresponding targets.
Source: RNAcentral
UAAUGAUAGAGGUGCAGAUGUUAUCAGUACCGUCAGUCUAUGACUUUCGCAAAGUUACGGCUGGCAUGGGAAAGGGGCAGCUGCCGAAGAUCUGCGAGGCGAAAGCAGUUUCUGGGAAAACGAACAAUAUUCGUUUUACUGUCGCAAAUGCGGAGUGCUAUCUU